This 497-nucleotide ribosomal RNA is filed under the name uncultured bacterium. Its description in RNAcentral is "partial 16S ribosomal RNA". It matches the Rfam family "Bacterial small subunit ribosomal RNA", at positions 28 to 507 of the family's 1533-position model. The record is from RNAcentral.
GAUGAACGCUGGCGGCGUGCCUAAUACAUGCAAGUCGAACGCACCGACGAGGGGAUUUGUUCCUUUCUGUUAGCGGCGCGAGCGUGUGAAACACGUGUAUCAAACCCAUCUUUGACCGGGAUAUAUUCGGGAAACCGGAUCUCAUAUCCGAUAAUAUUUUGCCCCGCAUGGUUCAAAAGUGAGAUACGGUGUUUCUGCUACUACUAGAUGGUUCCGCGCUGCAUUAGCUAGUAGGUAAGGUAACGGCUUACCAAGGCGUCGAUGCAUAGCCGACCUGAGAGGGUGAUCGGCCACACUGGAACUGAGACACGGUCCAAACUCCUACGGGAGGCAGCAGUAGGGAAUCUUCCGCAAUGGGCGAAAGUCUGACGGAGCAACGCCGCGUGUGUGAAGAAGGUCUUCGGAUCGUAAAACACUGUUAUUAGAGAAGAACAGCUGUGAGAGUAACUGUGAUAGGCUUGACGGUAACUAAUCAGAAAGCCACGGCUAACUACGUG